UAAGACUAUUACACACGGACUUAGUAAAAACCCAGAUUUUGUUGUUGUACAGUUAAAGAUGAGCAAUGGCUAUGUUUCCGAGGCAGCAGGUGUCACAUUUAAUUCACAAACUUUUACUCAUGAAACUAUCUGUGGGACAGUUUUUGCAUUCAAUGACCAAGAAAUCCGUCUUUGGUCGAUAUCUGGAAAUUUUGUGGCUUGUGUUCAUGAUGGCUGGGGAACAGAGA
Saccostrea echinata is the source of this 227-nucleotide long non-coding RNA. RefSeq lists it as uncharacterized. The record is from RefSeq and is a predicted model, not a curated record. The transcript has 3 exons. NCBI's taxonomy places the organism in Eukaryota, Metazoa, Mollusca, Bivalvia, Ostreida, Ostreidae.